GAUAGGUCGGGCUGAAGACUCUACUUGACUAGCUGAGAGGAGGUGCAUGGCCGUCGUCAGUUCGUACUGUGAAGCAUCCUGUUAAGUCAGGCAACGAGCGAGACCCACGCCCACAGUUGCCAGCGUACUCUCUGGAGUGACGGGUACACUGUGGGGACCGCCGCUGCUAAAGCGGAGGAAGGAAUGGGCAACGGUAGGUCAGUAUGCCCCGAAUAUCCCGGGCUACACGCGAGCUACAAUGGUCGGUACAAUGGGUAUCUACCCCGAAAGGGGACGGGAAUCUCCUAAAACCAAUCUUAGUUCGGAUUGAGGGCUGCAACUCGCCCUCAUGAAGCUGGAAUCCGUAGUAAUCGCGUUUCAACAGAACGCGGUGAAUACGUCCCUGCUCCUU
RNAcentral lists this ribosomal RNA (391 nucleotides) under uncultured Methanosaeta sp. Its description in RNAcentral is "bacterial SSU rRNA". It matches the Rfam family "Archaeal small subunit ribosomal RNA", at positions 948 to 1338 of the family's 1478-position model. The record is from RNAcentral. Lineage: Archaea; Methanobacteriati; Methanobacteriota; Methanomicrobia; Methanotrichales; Methanotrichaceae.